Molecule: long non-coding RNA, 271 nt
Filed under: Capsicum annuum
Lineage: Eukaryota; Viridiplantae; Streptophyta; Magnoliopsida; Solanales; Solanaceae
Description: long non-coding RNA (CANN_LNC020536)
Source: RNAcentral
GGGCAUGUGAUGAGGAGGGGCAUGGAUGUCCUAGUUAGUAGGUGUGAGAGGCUAGCUCUAAAUGAUUUUAGGAGGUGCAGAGGUAGGCCAAAAAAAUACUGGAGAGAGGUGAUUAGACAUGACUUGGAGUAGUUACAGCUUACUGAGUACAUGAACCUAGAUAGGAAGGUGUGGAGACCAUGGAUAAGGGUAGAAGUCUAGUGUGUGGGUGAGUCGUUGCAAGUAGUUAGGAGAACUUUGGUGUAUCCGGGUUAGUAGUUUUAGGACUGUA